RNAcentral lists this ribosomal RNA (429 nucleotides) under bacterium. Its description in RNAcentral is "partial 16S ribosomal RNA". It matches the Rfam family "Bacterial small subunit ribosomal RNA", at positions 355 to 776 of the family's 1533-position model. The record is from RNAcentral.
UAGGGAAUCUUCGGCAAUGGGGGCAACCCUGACCGAGCAACGCCGCUUGAGUGAAGAAGGUUUUCGGAUCGUAAAGCUCUGUUGUAAGAGAAGAACGUGUGUGAGAGUGGAAAGUUCACACAGUGACGGUAACUUACCAGAAAGGGACGGCUAACUACGUGCCAGCAGCCGCGGUAAUACGUAGGUCCCGAGCGUUGUCCGGAUUCAUUGGGCGUAAAGCGAGCGCAGGCGGUUUAAUAAGUCUGAAGUUAAAGGCAGUGGCUUAACCAUUGUUCGCUUUGGAAACUGUUAAACUUGAGUGCAGAAGGGGAGAGUGGAAUUCCAUGUGUAGCGGUGAAAUGCGUAGAUAUAUGGAGGAACACCGGUGGCGAAAGCGGCUCUCUGGUCUGUAACUGACGCUGAGGCUCGAAAGCGUGGGGAGCAAACAGG